AGCAGCCGCGGUAAUUCCAGCUCCAAUAGCGUAUAUUAAAGUUGUUGCAGUUAAAAAGCUCGUAGUUGAAUUUCGGGAUUAAUUUAUUGGUCGUGCUAUUGUACGUACCGAUAUUAUUGAUUCCUACCUUCUGACGAACCACGAUGUCAUUAAUUUGGUGUCAUGGGGAAUCAGGACUGUUACUUUGAAAAAAUUAGAGUGUUUAAAGCAGGCUCACGCUUGAAUACAUUAGCAUGGAAUAACGAAAUAGGACGUUUGAUUCUAUUUUGUUGGUUUCUAGGAUCGACGUAAUGAUUAAUAGGGAUAGUUGGGGGCAUUAGUAUUCAAUUGUCAGAGGUGAAAUUCUUGGAUUUAUUGAAGACUAGCUACUGCGAAAGCAUUUGCCAAGGAUGUUUUCAUUAAUCAAGAACGAAAGUUAGGGGAUCGAAGACGAUCAGAUACCGCCGUAGUCUUAACCAUAAACUAUGCCGACUAGGGAUCGGAUGAUGUUAAUUUUUAAUGACCCAUUCGGCGCCUUAAC
This 520-nucleotide ribosomal RNA is filed under the name uncultured Glomus. Its description in RNAcentral is "SSU rRNA". It matches the Rfam family "Eukaryotic small subunit ribosomal RNA", at positions 569 to 1092 of the family's 1831-position model. Lineage: Eukaryota; Fungi; Glomeromycota; Glomeromycetes; Glomerales; Glomeraceae. The record is from RNAcentral.